AACGAACGCUGGCGGCAUGCCUAACACAUGCAAGUCGAACGAGACCUUCGGGUCUAGUUGCGCACGGGUGCGUAACGCGUGGGAACCUGCCCUUAGGUUCGGAAUAACUCCCCGAAAGGGGUGCUAAUACCGGAUAAUGUCUUCGGACCAAAGAUUUAUCGCCUUUGGAUGGGCCCGCGUUGGAUUAGCUAGUUGGUAGGGUAAAAGCCUACCAAGGCGACGAUCCAUAGCUGGUCUGAGAGGAUGAUCAGCCACACUGGGACUGAGACACGGCCCAGACUCCUACGGAAGGCAGCAGUGGGGAAUAUUGGACGAUGGGCGAAAGCCUGAUCCAGCAAUGCCGCGUGAGUGAUGAAGGCCUUAGGGUUGUAAAGCUCUUUUACCCGGGAUGAUAAUGACAGUACCGGGAGAAUAAGCUCCGGCUAACUCCGUG
RNAcentral lists this ribosomal RNA (433 nucleotides) under uncultured bacterium. RNAcentral describes it as "partial 16S ribosomal RNA". It matches the Rfam family "Bacterial small subunit ribosomal RNA", at positions 29 to 507 of the family's 1533-position model. The record is from RNAcentral.